GGGGGAUUUGUGCUUCUCACAAUGCUGCAACAUGCGGCUCUGCUGUGGCCUCAGGUGUCGUCAGGGGUCUGUGCCCAAUGUGCAUCGGCUCCCCUCGCUUCAGCUAGGAUAAGGUCUCCGGACUUCGGACCAUGGUGUUCCGCCCCAGUGCAUGAGCUUCGUGAGGCUUCACUAACCGGCUUGUUUUCCUGCUGGUGAAGACUCUGAACACAAGCUGGGAUCUGAAGUCGUGUCUGAGGC
Non-coding RNA from Pelobates cultripes (western spadefoot toad), 240 nucleotides. NCBI's taxonomy places the organism in Eukaryota, Metazoa, Chordata, Amphibia, Anura, Pelobatidae. The record is from the annotation of a GenBank genome assembly.